RNAcentral lists this ribosomal RNA (477 nucleotides) under uncultured bacterium. RNAcentral describes it as "partial 16S ribosomal RNA". It matches the Rfam family "Bacterial small subunit ribosomal RNA", at positions 30 to 507 of the family's 1533-position model. The record is from RNAcentral.
AUUGAACGCUGGCGGCAUGCCUUACACAUGCAAGUCGAACGGUAACAGGUUAAGCUGACGAGUGGCGAACGGGUGAGUAAUGUAUCGGAACGUGCCCAGUCGUGGGGGAUAACUGCUCGAAAGAGCAGCUAAUACCGCAUACGACCUGAGGGUGAAAGCGGGGGAUCGCAAGACCUCGCGCGAUUGGAGCGGCCGAUAUCAGAUUAGGUAGUUGGUGAGGUAAAGGCUCACCAAGCCGACGAUCUGUAGCUGGUCUGAGAGGACGACCAGCCACACUGGGACUGAGACACGGCCCAGACUCCUACGGGAGGCAGCAGUGGGGAAUUUUGGACAAUGGGCGCAAGCCUGAUCCAGCCAUGCCGCGUGCGGGAAGAAGGCCUUCGGGUUGUAAACCGCUUUUGUCAGGGAAGAAAAGGUUCUGGCUAAUACCUGGGACUCAUGACGGUACCUGAAGAAUAAGCACCGGCUAACUACGCG